GAAGAUUUUCGGAUCGUAAACUCCUUUCGAUCGGGAAGAAUGGCUGCCGGGUGAAUAUCCUGGCAGAGUGACGGUACCGAGAGAAGAAGCCCCGGCUAACUCCGUGCCAGCAGCCGCGGUAAUACGGGGGGGGCAAGCGUUGUUCGGAAUUACUGGGCGUAAAGGGGUUGUAGGCGGCCAACUAAGUCCGACGUGAAAUCCCAAGGCUUAACCUUGGAACUGCGUCGGAUACUGGAUGGCUUGAAUUCGGGAGAGGGAUGCAGAAUUCCAGGUGUAGCGGUGAAAUGCGUAGAUAUCUGGAGGAAUACCGGUGGCGAAGGCGGCAUCCUGGACCGACAUUGACGCUGAGAACCGAAAGCUAGGGGAGCAAACGGGAUUAGAUACCCCGGUAGUCCUAGCCCUAAACGAUGAAUGCUUGGUGUGGCGGGUAUCGAUCCCUGCCGUGCCGAAGCUAACGCAUUAAGCAUUCCGCCUGGGGAGUACGGUCGCAAGGCUGAAACUCAAA
This 505-nucleotide ribosomal RNA is filed under the name uncultured bacterium. RNAcentral describes it as "bacterial SSU rRNA". It matches the Rfam family "Bacterial small subunit ribosomal RNA", at positions 410 to 905 of the family's 1533-position model. The record is from RNAcentral.